Molecule: long non-coding RNA, 702 nt
Organism: Amphimedon queenslandica
Lineage: Eukaryota; Metazoa; Porifera; Demospongiae; Haplosclerida; Niphatidae
Exons: 3
Source: RefSeq, a predicted model, not a curated record
GUUUCUAAACUACCGAAAGAGCAUGACAAACCAGUCAAACCGGUUUCAGACGACAAGUGAUACACGCGUAGUAGAGGGGCGUGGCUUGGUAAAGGAUUGGGCGGAGACUGGGAAGAGUCUAGUAAUGUUUUUAUUACUAGUAUGAGAAAAACUAAACCACUGAAUAUAAAACAGGAGGACAUGUCCUGGAGCCACGCCCACUCCGGCACUAGUUACCCCAUACAGUGUAUACUCCCUCCAGCUGAAGGUCAUGUGACCAGUGACUCUGCCCUAUUGUACCCCCACUAUAAUAACGGAUUGGUAAUAGUGUAUUAUGAUAAGAAUGGGAAUGGAAAAACAAGGAAUAAAGAACAGGAACCAAAAACCACAAAUUUAAUUGUCAUUUAUAAGGUUUCUGAGAGAUACUAUUCAUUAGCCAAUUUUGUCGUGUCGGAACUGGUUGUUUUUGCCCACUAAUGAGGACAAACCGGUUUAUCUGGUUUCUGAUAGUUCACUAUCAGUGUUAGCUUUCCUUUUAUCACAAGAAGACUUUGUAGCAAAAGUGUUAAUGUAUGGUAGUGCGUCAGUAGCUGAGGAGGUGUGUCACUUGAACCGCUGGGACCAAUGUUCCCUCCCUCUCAAUACACUGGAGACUGAACUCUAACUGAGGCAGUUGGACAUAGUGUCAUUCUUCCUUAGGAACAGAGGUAAAGGAUAUACUAU